UAUCUCUCCGUACGGGGAAGGAUGAGAAGCUUCGAAUAAGGUUCGAUUCGAGCGAAAGCGAGAAAGCGUUGCCGCAGGCAACGACCCGAAGGGCGAAGCGCGCAGCGCUGAGUCAUCCUUCCCCCACCACCA
This 132-nucleotide small RNA is filed under the name Salmonella enterica. Its description in RNAcentral is "RtT sRNA". It matches the Rfam family "RtT RNA". Rfam says of the family: This family represents a bacterial cis-regulatory element known as RtT RNA. The exact function of RtT is unknown although it is thought that it may be involved in changing the cellular response in relation to amino acid starvation. The record is from RNAcentral. RNAcentral also lists the same sequence under 3 other names. Lineage: Bacteria; Pseudomonadati; Pseudomonadota; Gammaproteobacteria; Enterobacterales; Enterobacteriaceae.